UGGGGAAUCUUGGACAAUGGGGGAAACCCUGAUCCAGCCAUGCCGCGUGAUCGAUGAAGGCCUUAGGGUUGUAAAGAUCUUUCAGCGAGGAAGAUAAUGACGGUACUCGCAGAAGAAGCCCCGGCUAACUCCGUGCCAGCAGCCGCGGUAAUACGGAGGGGGCUAGCGUUGUUCGGAAUUACUGGGCGUAACGCGCACGUAGGCGGAUUGGAAAGUUGGGGGUGAAAUCCCGGGGCUCAACCCCGGAACUGCCUUCAAAACUCCCAGUCUGGAGGUCGAGAGAGGUGAGUGGAAUUCCGAGUGUAGAGGUGAAAUUCGUAGAUAUUCGGAGGAACACCAGUGGCGAAGGCGACUCACUGGCUCGAUACUGACGCUGAGGUGCGAAAGCGUGGGGAGCAAACA
RNAcentral lists this ribosomal RNA (402 nucleotides) under uncultured prokaryote. RNAcentral's name for it is "bacterial SSU rRNA". It matches the Rfam family "Bacterial small subunit ribosomal RNA", at positions 355 to 774 of the family's 1533-position model. The record is from RNAcentral.